UGCCAGACUCCUACGGGAGGCAGCAGUGGGGGAUAUUGCACAAUGGGGGGAACCCUGAUGCAGCGACGCCGCGUGGGUGAAGGAGUAUUUCGGUAUGUAAAGCCCUAUCGGCAGGGAAGAAGCAAGACGGUACCUGACUAAGAAGCCCCGGCUAACUACGUGCCAGCAGCCGCGGUAAUACGUAGGGGGCGAGCGUUAUCCGGAUUUACUGGGUGUAAAGGGGGCGCAGACGGCGAUGCAAGCCAGGAGUGAAAGCCCGGGGCCCAACCCCGGGACUGCUCUUGGAACUGCGUGGCUAGAGUGCAGGAGGGGCAGGCGGAAUUCCUGGUGUAGCGGUGAAAUGCGUAGAUAUCAGGAGGAACACCGGUGGCGAAGGCGGCCUGCUGGACUGCGACUGACGUUGAGGCCCGAAAGCGUGUGGCGCAAACAGGAUUAGAUACCCUGGUA
RNAcentral lists this ribosomal RNA (447 nucleotides) under uncultured bacterium. RNAcentral's name for it is "partial 16S ribosomal RNA". It matches the Rfam family "Bacterial small subunit ribosomal RNA", at positions 329 to 792 of the family's 1533-position model. The record is from RNAcentral.